GUUGUGGCUCAGUGCUUAGGGCGUCUGCUUUGGGUUUUGCAUGCAGACAGCUGCAGGUUCAAACCUUGGCAUCUCCA
This is a non-coding RNA of Podarcis lilfordi (Lilford's wall lizard), 77 nucleotides long. NCBI's taxonomy places the organism in Eukaryota, Metazoa, Chordata, Lepidosauria, Squamata, Lacertidae. The record is from the annotation of a GenBank genome assembly.